UUUCUCCUACGGGAGGCAGCAGUGAGGAAUAUUGGUCAAUGGUCGGGAGACUGAACCAGCCAAGCCGCGUGAGGGAUGAAGGUACAGAGUAUCGUAAACCUCUUUUGUCAGGGAACAAAGGCGGGGACGCGUCCCCGGAUGAGUGUACCUGAAGAAAAAGCAUCGGCUAACUCCGUGCCAGCAGCCGCGGUAAUACGGAGGAUGCGAGCGUUAUCCGGAUUUAUUGGGUUUAAAGGGUGCGCAGGCGGGCUGUUAAGGCAGCGGUCAAAGCCCGGGGGUCAACCCCGGUCCGCCG
RNAcentral lists this ribosomal RNA (295 nucleotides) under uncultured bacterium. RNAcentral describes it as "partial 16S ribosomal RNA". It matches the Rfam family "Bacterial small subunit ribosomal RNA", at positions 333 to 626 of the family's 1533-position model. The record is from RNAcentral.